AGUACUAUAUGUGGGUUUGCACCUUUUCGAGAAUCUAAACUUCGUGUCUGCUUGACCUUCCUAAAUACUCCCCCCUUGUAUUACUCAAAUUUUCUCUCUAUCAUUAAAACAAUUCCCUUUUUAAAUUUUCUUUUUCUUUUCUUAUUUUCUUUCUCUCUUCCCUUUUUGCGCAUUUAAUUUAUGGAGGUCUUCUGGGACCUCACAGUAGCAUGAUGGAUAAGGAUGGAAAAUGAUACCUUUUUUGACACCAAUGACACAGAGACUACAGUUUAAUAAUUUCUUUUAAUAAGUGAGAUUUUUUUAAAAAGAAAAAGAGUCCUGAUGAUAGUCAUGUUUAGAAGAUUCUGUCCUUUGUAUCUUUUCUUUUAGUGUCACAAAUUAAUCUUGACUGAGACUGAGUCCAAUUUUUGUUGUUCUCACAGGAAGAUAUAUUUUUUCAUAAUCUUAGAACUUCAAGUUUGACCUUGAUUUCUCUCUCUGUCUUUUUGUACUACAUUGUUUUCUUUUUCCUGAUUACAUAAAAGGGGGGAUUUACCUUUUCUCUCUCUCCUUUUCUGAGCUUCAGUGCAGAGCAACUUGAGUCUCUUCAUUUGUCUCAUUCCUUGUUAAAAACCCAACUGCACUUCUUAUUUCACCUCAUCCCAGGGAAAAGAUGGAAUGUGUCACUAUUGUCUUUCAUCAAUAAAUAUAUUUUUUUCCUUGACCUCUCAUGAUGUAUGUGUAACAAAACUCCUCUUCUCUGAUACUUUACUGCUUGUUUAUUAUCUUUUCUUGAUAUUUUAUAUUAUAGAAGACAAGGAUUUCUGGCUGGAUGGUAAAAUAUUUUUUUUAUCAUUUAUUUUUCUUCUAAGGUGUCACUAAUUCAAAUCCCUUUCUUAAAUUUUGAAGAGAUAGGUAGUGAUAUACUGUCCAAUCCAAAUUUCAUAUCCUCUGCAAAAGCAACACAUUUUUAAACUAAAAUUUAAAUUCUAGUAUAUAUUAUUUGUUUAAAAAUGGUUUUAUAUAACUACUGUUAAUUAAUAUAGUAAUUAAUUAUUAUUUUAACCAAUUAUAUUCAGAGACUAGCAGUUAAGUAUUCUGUAUUAUUCCAAAAUUAUUUUGAAAGUAAUUCAUACAUUUUUGUAUUUCAGAGCUGCAAAAAUAUCUUUAAAAUGUAUAUAAAUAACAUAUUAGUUUUUUCCUCUUAACAUAUUAUUUUAUAAACUUUAUAUGGUAUUUUCAAAUAUAUACUUCAUGGGUGAGCACCCAAAAAUACUUUUGAUUAGAGUACAGCUGCUCCUCGAGUUACAAACAUAGAGUACAUUCCCAAUUAUCUAGAUUGUGGAUUAACCCUGAUUUACAGAACUAAAGUGAUGCUUAAUCCUUUGGCCACCUAACAGUGCUUUCUUUGAAGUUUGAAAGAUUUCAGAUUGCUGACAUCAUCAAUGAGAUAAUUUAUAUAAUGGCCAGUAAUAUAUUAAUAUUACUGGUUUAAUUUUAACACACAAUCCUACUUUGAUGUCUUGGCCAACAAAUUCAGUCCUUAGAAAAAAUUUAGGGCUCCUAUUUUAGUUAUGUAAUUUUUUAAGAACUAUACUGCAUCAAGUUAUUGGGUGGAGAAGGAUUUUUUGAAAAUUAUUGAAAUCCAACUAGUCACUCAAUUUUUCCAUACACUCCCAUAUAUUUUAAAGAUGUCAGUACAAUUCUGGCAAAUCACUGCAUAAGUUAGAAAUUGAAGAUUUUUUUUUUGCCUUUACAUAAAACACCAUCAUAAAUCAGCCUACUUCACUACAUGGUGUAUCUAGAACAGUAAAGUUGUAGGAUAUAGACAUUGAAAAUUUUGAGGUCUAUUAAAUGUUUAUACUUAUAUUCAUAUAUUUUAAGCCAGUUUUAGAAAUAGGAAAAAAAUAAUAAAGAUUUUAAUACUAAAAUAUAAAUAAAAUAUCUAUUGCUUACAUUGCAGGAAUUUGGCCAUUUUUGAAUAACCAAAAAUUAUUAUUAUUAUUAUUAUUAUUAUUAUUUUUUUAUAGAAAAA
This 2014-nucleotide long non-coding RNA is filed under the name Androctonus crassicauda. The record is from RNAcentral. Lineage: Eukaryota; Metazoa; Arthropoda; Arachnida; Scorpiones; Buthidae.